UGUGACGAGUUUGAUCCUGGCUCAGAUUGAACGCUGGCGGCAUGGCUAAAACAUGCAAGUCGAACGAUCCCUUCGGGGAGAGUGGCGAAAGGGCGAGGAAUAGAAUCGAAUGUACCCCAAGGUGGGGGAUAGCCUCUGGAAACGGAGGGUAAUACCCCAUGUGCUCUACGGAGGAAAGGUUUACCGCCUUGGGAGCAGCGAUUCUCCUAUCAGGUAGUUGGUGAGGUAACGGCUCACCAAGCCGAAGACGGGUAGCGGGUGUGAGAGCAUGACCCGCCGCAUCGGGACUGAGACACUGCCCGGACUCCUACGGGAGGCUGCAGUAACGAAUCUUCCGCAAUGGGCGAAAGCCUGACGGAGCAAUGCCGCGUGUGGGAUGAAGCAUCUUCGAUGUGUAAACCACUGUCAGGGUCUAGGAAUACUGACCAGACCCAAAGGAAGGGCCGGCUAAUUCCGUG
This 458-nucleotide ribosomal RNA is filed under the name uncultured bacterium. Its description in RNAcentral is "bacterial SSU rRNA". It matches the Rfam family "Bacterial small subunit ribosomal RNA", at positions 1 to 507 of the family's 1533-position model. The record is from RNAcentral.